UACGAAGGGUGCAAGCGUUGCUCGGAAUUACUGGGCGUAAAGAGCGCGUAGGCGGUUAUCCAAGUCAGGGGUGAAAUCCCGGAGCUUAACUCCGGAACUGCCUUUGAAACUGUAUAGCUGGAGUAUGUGAGGGGAUAGCGGAAUUCCUAAUGUAGAGGUGAAAUUCGUAGAUAUCGUAAGGAAGACCAGUGGCGAAGGCGAAUCUCUGGACAGUUACUGACACUGAGGCACGAAGGCCAGGGGAGCAAACGGG
RNAcentral lists this ribosomal RNA (253 nucleotides) under uncultured bacterium. RNAcentral's name for it is "partial 16S ribosomal RNA". It matches the Rfam family "Bacterial small subunit ribosomal RNA", at positions 524 to 776 of the family's 1533-position model. The record is from RNAcentral.